This is a non-coding RNA of Rattus norvegicus (Norway rat), 73 nucleotides long. The record is from the annotation of a RefSeq genome assembly. Lineage: Eukaryota; Metazoa; Chordata; Mammalia; Rodentia; Muridae.
UUGGGGAUUUAGCUCAGCGGUAGAGCACUUGCCUAGCAAGCAAGAGGUCCUGGGUUCGGUCCCCAGCUCCAAA